This 398-nucleotide ribosomal RNA is filed under the name uncultured bacterium. RNAcentral describes it as "bacterial SSU rRNA". It matches the Rfam family "Bacterial small subunit ribosomal RNA", at positions 28 to 429 of the family's 1533-position model. The record is from RNAcentral.
GACGAACGCUGGCGGCGUGCUUAACACAUGCAAGUCGAGCGGUAAGGCCCUUUCGGGGUACGACGAGCGGCGAACGGGUGAGUAACACGUGGGUGACCUGCCCUCCAGCUCUGGGAUAAGCCUGGGAAACCGGGUCUAAUACUGGAUAUGACUCCAUGACGCAUGUUGUGGGGUGGAAAGCCUUGUGCGGCUGAGGAUGGGCCCGCGGCCUAUCAGCUUGUUGGUGGGGUGAGGCCUACCAAGGCGACGACGGGUAGCCGGCCUGAGAGGGCGACCGGCCACACUGGGACUGAGACACGGCCCAGACUCCUACGGGAGGCAGCAGUGGGGAAUUGUUCGCAAUGGGCGCAAGCCUGACGACGCAACGCCGCGUGGAGGAUGAAGACCUCGGUCGUAAC